GGCAAAACACAUGUGCUUAGGAGCCAAAGCCCAAGGUGAAGUGCAGCCAGGCGCAAGAGGUGUACUCGUAAUUUGGGAUGAUAAUGAUGAAAAUGAUUCAAGCCCAUUGUGAAAAAGGCCCAUCCAAAUGUGGCAAUGAGAUUGAGCACGUGGGGAAUCCAUCGGCAUCUAAGUCAACCAUGCACGUGGUGGAGACGAAAUUUGAAUUAAGAACGCGUUAGUCCUCAGGUCAACCUUCAAACACCACCACCGUGGGCCACCAUGUCGAACAUCCCCUCCGGCGGCGGUGACCGUCGAAAACGAAAAUCGGACCUAACAUUUCAAUCGUCUCCUUCGCCUCUCCAUGAAUUCCUCAUUGAUUUCCCUGAAUUCCACGUCUAGGACCCUAACCGCUUAGAUCUCCUCAAGAACCCUAAAUCCUAGAAAUCCAAAUUAAAUCCUCAAGAUUCUGAAUCAAAGCCCUAGAGGUUAGGGCUUUGACUCCUCCGGCCAAACUCUACAUCAUGGCAACUAGGACGGACCAAAAUAUUGAAGAGAAACGGAAAGUACUCAUCGAAGAUGACGUCGGAACUCAGAUGGGAUGCUGCAAGUUUUGUGAUGCCUUGACAUUGUUUGAUGGCCUUGGUUUCUUGGCUUGCAUUUGGUUUGUAGCAAGGUUUUGCUGAUGUGUAUUGCAAUGUUUCAAGCAUGCUGACUUGGUUGGGUUCAUGGUAUGCCUCAUGUUCAGCAGGUUCACUCAUUUUGCAGUAGGUAGGUUCAUUGCAUUGGCUUGAAUGUAUUGUAAUGGCUUGGUUAUAACCUCAUGGCCGCAUGCUUCUGUCUUGGCUUUGUAGCAAGACACUCCAUUCUUCAACUUGGUUCAGAUUAUGUGCAACAUGGCAUGUAGUGUAGCAUUGUUGUUUGUAGUAUCAUGAUUAACAUGGCAUGACGUCUUAAUGUACAUGGGUUAAUUCUUGCAUUGGUCCUUCUUGGCCUUAGGUCACAAAGGCAUGGUUAUGCACAUGGAAAAUGAUGAUUGAACCAAGACUUGCAACAUGACCAAGAUUGGAACAUACAUGACAAAUAAUAAGGAUUCAAAGGUCAAGGAUCAAAAUUUUAUCUUAGGAUUGGAAUUAGGAUUAGGACUUAGGGUUUUUGAAGAUUGGGUUGACUUUGGUCAAAGUUGACCAAAACGUCAACUGUUGACCAAAGUCAACAUUUGGUCAAAAUUUUGUUUUUUUCUAUUUUUCUCAUGUAAUGGACACUUGUAUGAUUAUAUAAUGAAUGUGAUUGAUAUUUUGGAUGAAAUGGAUA
Long non-coding RNA from Lathyrus oleraceus (garden pea), 1293 nucleotides. RefSeq lists it as uncharacterized. The transcript has 2 exons. NCBI's taxonomy places the organism in Eukaryota, Viridiplantae, Streptophyta, Magnoliopsida, Fabales, Fabaceae. The record is from RefSeq and is a predicted model, not a curated record.